RNAcentral lists this ribosomal RNA (468 nucleotides) under uncultured bacterium. Its description in RNAcentral is "partial 16S ribosomal RNA". It matches the Rfam family "Bacterial small subunit ribosomal RNA", at positions 28 to 507 of the family's 1533-position model. The record is from RNAcentral.
GAUGAACGCUGGCGGCGUGCUUAACACAUGCAAGUCGAACGGUGAAGGCGGAGCUUGCUCUGCUGGAUCAGUGGCGAACGGGUGAGUAACACGUUAGCAAUCUGCCCCUGACUCUGGGAUAAGCGCUGGAAACGGCGUCUAAUACUGGAUACGAGCUGCGAAGGCAUCUUCAGCAGCUGGAAAGAACUUCGGUCAGGGAUGAGCUCGCGGCCUAUCAGCUUGUUGGUGAGGUAACGGCUCACCAAGGCGUCGACGGGUAGCCGGCCUGAGAGGGUGACCGGCCACACUGGGACUGAGACACGGCCCAGACUCCUACGGGAGGCAGCAGUGGGGAAUAUUGCCCAAUGGGCGGAAGCCUGAUGCAGCAACGCCGCGUGAGGGAAGACGGCCUUCGGGUUGUAAACCUCUUUUAGCAGGGAAGAAGCGAAAGUGACGGUACCUGCAGAAAAAGCGCCGGCUAACUACGUG